This 25-nucleotide non-coding RNA is filed under the name Rattus norvegicus (Norway rat). Lineage: Eukaryota; Metazoa; Chordata; Mammalia; Rodentia; Muridae. The record is from RNAcentral.
UGAAAGUAGAUUUGGAAGUCUAAAU